GAGGGUGUAGCUCAAAGUGAUAGAGUACAUGCUUAGCACGCAGGAGGUCCUGGGUCAAAUCCCAGUACCUCCC
This 73-nucleotide transfer RNA is filed under the name Camelus ferus (Wild Bactrian camel). It matches the Rfam family "tRNA". Rfam says of the family: Transfer RNA (tRNA) molecules are approximately 80 nucleotides in length. Their secondary structure includes four short double-helical elements and three loops (D, anti-codon, and T loops). Lineage: Eukaryota; Metazoa; Chordata; Mammalia; Artiodactyla; Camelidae. The record is from Rfam by way of RNAcentral.